CCUUARAUCCAGCUGUGAGGAGUUCUGAGCCUGCAGAUCCCUGUCUGUAAAUGUGAAGAGUGGGUUUCGUGAACUAUGUGAUCUCCRUGGAGCGUCAGCAUUUGUGCGUGCAACCUAGAAGCCUGCCUGCGCUAAUAGACGUGACCGGCACUUGCACAUCCUGCGGAGCAGAGGAAAAGCAUUUUGAUUUUUGUGCUCAACUGGGAAACCACUUGGGCGCUUAGGAGUGGCGGUCCCAACCCGCUGCGGCCUCGGGAUGCAGCACCAAGCGGAUGGAUGGAUGGAUGGAUGGAUGGAGAAGACCUGGAGAGGCAACACCCAUGGGGGCAGGAGCACUGCUCCCAACCCCAUGGCUGCUUAGUGUUGUCCGCGUGGGCCUGUG
RNAcentral lists this long non-coding RNA (382 nucleotides) under Dromaius novaehollandiae (emu). Its description in RNAcentral is "lncRNA (ENSDNVG00000013791.1)". The record is from RNAcentral. Lineage: Eukaryota; Metazoa; Chordata; Aves; Casuariiformes; Dromaiidae.